GAAUGAUAGUUUGGUCUUUUUACAUUCAUGUCUUUGUCUCUUCUGUAUCCUUUCCUCCAGUUAAACACUGUAUACUCAUAGUUACACCCAAGUGUAACAUCUGUGUGUAUGAACACAACUACACCUGCACCAUGUCAGACAAAAAAAGUACAACAAAGUUUAACCCUUUGGUGUCUGUACUAAAACUCUGGCUUUGCUGCAGCUGUUUUCUUGCUGAUUAACAUUUAUUUGUCUCUCCAAACCCCCAGAUUCCUUUGACAAAUCCAGUAAUCCUACAGAACUCAGUAACUGCCAGUUCACAGCAUCAACAGUCGAGUUUGGAGUUAAUUUGAUUAGAAACUAACAUUAAAAUGCACAAUAACCGUUUUUUUAAAGCAGCUAGGUGGUUUUGAUGAAAGUUUCAGGGCUUCAGCUCUUCAGCCAGUGGAAGUAGAAGUGGUAGAAAUAUUCUCUACAGUUUCUACAGAUGAACAGUGAAGACAAACGCCUAAGACUGCUGGUGAAAUGCUGCCCUCUGGUGGAAUGAGUGAAUCUUAAACUACUGCUGUUACUUUGGGCUGAUCCAUUUUUCGGGUUGCCACAGUCCCUUCAUGUCCUCCUUCACCACAUCCAUAAACCUCCUCUUUGCCUCCUGUCGAUAGAGAACAUCUUCAUCAUCCUUCAUAUUUACUAUCCCUCCUCUGCACAUGUCCAGCCAUCUCACUCAACCUCUCACUUUGACCCCAACACCGACGCCAAAUUAGCUUUGUGUUGUUACAUAGAUUGACCAAUUGAAUAGAUCUUUAUUAUCACAGUCACAGGAAUAAUGAAAAUUCAUUUAGCAGCAAAAACAAUUAGUGCAA
Sphaeramia orbicularis (orbiculate cardinalfish) is the source of this 842-nucleotide long non-coding RNA. RefSeq lists it as uncharacterized. The record is from RefSeq and is a predicted model, not a curated record. The transcript is spliced from 2 exons. Lineage: Eukaryota; Metazoa; Chordata; Actinopteri; Kurtiformes; Apogonidae.